This 384-nucleotide ribosomal RNA is filed under the name uncultured bacterium. RNAcentral's name for it is "bacterial SSU rRNA". It matches the Rfam family "Bacterial small subunit ribosomal RNA", at positions 29 to 416 of the family's 1533-position model. The record is from RNAcentral.
AUUGAACGCUGGCGGCAUGCCUUACACAUGCAAGUCGAACGGUAGCGCGGGGCAACCUGGCGACGAGUGGCGAACGGGUGAGUAAAGCAUCGGAACGUGCCCUGGAAUGGGGGAUAACGUAGCGAAAGUUACGCUAAUACCGCAUAUUCUGUGAGCAGGAAAGCAGGGGAUCGCAAGACCUUGCGUUCUGGGAGCGGCCGAUGUCGGAUUAGCUAGUUGGUGGGGUAAAAGCCUACCAAGGCGACGAUCCGUAGCGGGUCUGAGAGGAUGAUCCGCCACACUGGGACUGAGACACGGCCCAGACUCCUACGGGAGGCAGCAGUGGGGAAUUUUGGACAAUGGGCGGAAGCCUGAUCCAGCCACGCCGCGUGAGUGAAGAAGGCC